RNAcentral lists this ribosomal RNA (454 nucleotides) under uncultured Allobosea sp. RNAcentral's name for it is "uncultured Bosea sp. partial 16S ribosomal RNA". The record is from RNAcentral. Lineage: Bacteria; Pseudomonadati; Pseudomonadota; Alphaproteobacteria; Hyphomicrobiales; Alloboseaceae.
CACGAAGUUAGCCGGGGCUUAUUCUUCCGGUACAGUCAUUAUCUUCCCGGACAAAAGUGCUUUACAACCCUAAGGCCUUCAUCACACACGCGGCAUGGCUGGAUCAGGCUUGCGCCCAUUGUCCAAUAUUCCCCACUGCUGCCUCCCGUAGGAGUUUGGGCCGUGUCUCAGUCCCAAUGUGGCUGAUCAUCCUCUCAGACCAGCUACUGAUCGUCGCCUUGGUGAGCCAUUACCUCACCAACUAGCUAAUCAGACGCGGGCCGAUCUUUCGGCGAUAAAUCUUUCCCCCGAAGGGCGUAUCCGGUAUUAGUACAAGUUUCCCUGUAUUAUUCCGAACCAAAGGUACGUUCCCACGUGUUACUCACCCGUCUGCCACUAGCACCCGAAGGUACCCGUUCGACUUGCAUGUGUUAAGCCUGCCGCCAGCGUUCGCUCUGAGCCAGGAUCAAACUCU